Molecule: ribosomal RNA, 1378 nt
Filed under: Xylariales sp.
Lineage: Eukaryota; Fungi; Ascomycota; Sordariomycetes; Xylariales
Description: eukaryotic LSU rRNA
Rfam family: Eukaryotic large subunit ribosomal RNA
Source: RNAcentral
AUAUCAAUAAGCGGAGGAAAAGAAACCAACAGGGAUUGCCCUAGUAACGGCGAGUGAAGCGGCAACAGCUCAAAUUUGAAAUCUGGCGCUUGCGUCCGAGUUGUAAUUUGUAGAGGAUGCUUUUGGCGCGGUGCCUUCCGAGUUCCCUGGAACGGGACGCCAUAGAGGGUGAGAGCCCCGUACGGUUGGACACUAAGCCUCUGUAAAGCUCCUUCGACGAGUCGAGUAGUUUGGGAAUGCUGCUCUAAAUGGGAGGUAAAUUUCUUCUAAAGCUAAAUACCGGCCAGAGACCGAUAGCGCACAAGUAGAGUGAUCGAAAGAUGAAAAGCACUUUGAAAAGAGGGUUAAAUAGCACGUGAAAUUGUUAAAAGGGAAGGGUUUAUGACCAGACUUGUGCCUGGCGGAUCAUCCGGUGUUCUCACCGGUGCACUUCGCCUGGUUCAGGCCAGCAUCGGUUUCUGUAGGGGGAUAAAGGCUCUGGGAAUGUGGCUCCCUCCGGGGAGUGUUAUAGCCCGCUGCGUAAUACCCUUACGGGGACCGAGGUUCGCGCUUCUGCAAGGAUGCUGGCGUAAUGGUCAUUAACCACCCGUCUUGAAACACGGACCAAGGAGUCGAACAUUUGUGCGAGUGUUUGGGUGUUAAACCCUCACGCGUAAUGAAAGUGAACGGAGGUGAGAGCCUUUUGGCGCAUCAUCGACCGAUCCUGAUGUCUUCGGAUGGAUUUGAGUAAGAGCAUAAAUGUCCGGACCCGAAAGAUGGUGAACUAUGCGUGGAUAGGGUGAAGCCAGAGGAAACUCUGGUGGAGGCUCGCAGCGGUUCUGACGUGCAAAUCGAUCGUCAAAUCUGCGCAUGGGGGCGAAAGACUAAUCGAACCAUCUAGUAGCUGGUUACCGCCGAAGUUUCCCUCAGGAUAGCAGUGUUGUUCUUCAGUUUUAUGAGGUAAAGCGAAUGAUUAGGGACUCGGGGGCGCCUUUUAGCCUUCAUCCAUUCUCAAACUUUAAAUAUGUAAGAAGCCCUUGUUGCUUAGUUGAACGUGGGCAUUCGAAUGUACCAACACUAGUGGGCCAUUUUUGGUAAGCAGAACUGGCGAUGCGGGAUGAACCGAACGCGGGGUUAAGGUGCCAGAGUGGACGCUCAUCAGACACCACAAAAGGCGUUAGUACAUCUUGACAGCAGGACGGUGGCCAUGGAAGUCGGAAUCCGCUAAGGACUGUGUAACAACUCACCUGCCGAAUGUACUAGCCCUGAAAAUGGAUGGCGCUCAAGCGUCUCACCCAUACCUCGCCCUUAGGGUAGAAACGAUGCCCUAAGGAGUAGGCGGCCGUGGGGGUCAGUGACGAAGCCUAGGGCGUGAGCCCGGGUCGAACGGCCUCUAGUG